Molecule: ribosomal RNA, 425 nt
Filed under: uncultured bacterium
Lineage: Bacteria
Description: bacterial SSU rRNA
Rfam family: Bacterial small subunit ribosomal RNA
Source: RNAcentral
GGGGAAUAUUGCACAAUGGGCGCAAGCCUGAUGCAGCCAUGCCGCGUGUAUGAAGAAGGCCUUCGGGUUGUAAAGUACUUUCAGCGAGGAGGAAGGCGUUAAGGUUAAUAACCUUGACGAUUGACGUUACUCGCAGAAGAAGCACCGGCUAACUCCGUGCCAGCAGCCGCGGUAAUACGGAGGGUGCAAGCGUUAAUCGGAAUUACUGGGCGUAAAGCGCACGCAGGCGGUCUGUCAAGUCGGAUGUGAAAUCCCCGGGCUCAACCUGGGAACUGCAUCCGAAACUGGCAGGCUAGAGUCUUGUAGAGGGGGGUAGAAUUCCAGGUGUAGCGGUGAAAUGCGUAGAGAUCUGGAGGAAUACCGGUGGCGAAGGCGGCCCCCUGGACAAAGACUGACGCUCAGGUGCGAAAGCGUGGGGAGCAAAC